CAUGUGAUAGGCUUUUAUCAUCCGUAUUGUGUUCUCCACAAAUUGGGUUGAGGUUGUUUCUCUGUUGAUAGUGUGCAGAAGUUGCUAGCUUCUCAGGGACAGGUUGUGUUUCCAAGUGAUAAAGCAGCGUAAGUUGCAUGACUUCUGAAUCAGAUGCAUUUUCAAACCAUGAUACAUGCUAAAUUUGCUGCAGAAUUUCUUUUCUUUUGCUUUCCCCCAAAUAUUUUCAAAUUAUAAGAGAAGGAUGAAAUUGGAAGCGCCUCUUGGCUUAUUGAUGUUAUCGAUAACCGAAUCGAUAAGCCCCCAAAAUCGAUAAAUCGNNNNNNNNNNNNNNNNNNNNNNNNNNNNNNNNNNNNNNNNNNNNNNNNNNNNNNNNNNNNNNNNNNNNNNNNAAAAUCAAAACCUUAUUGAAACGAUAACGAUAAGCAUAUGUACAAAUCAAUAAUCGAUAAGUAAUUAUCGAUAAGAGUCAAAAUCGAAUUGAUAAAACGAAUGCACACCCCUACUUAAAAUAAAUGAACCCUAGUCAUGGUUUAACACAAUACAUUGCAGCAGUUCAGCUCAUAGCCAUAUUCCAACAGUAAUUAAAUAACACAUAGUUUGACAAAAAACCAAACAAUAGUCACAACACUGAAAACUUGACAGAGUAAACAAGUACUUUCAUCACUCAAACAAGAACUGAAAUUUACAUUAUUUGAUCAAGGGUAAUACCUUAGUAGUAGCAAGAAGCAAAGAAAUAGAAAAUAAGUGUUUGAACUUGAGAAAGAGUAAAGCAACAAAAAAAGCAGCAACAGAAAACCAACAAGAGCAAAGAACCAACAACAAAAGAAGCUAAAGAAAACCCAACUUUAAGAAACCCCAUAAAGUUUUUCUACUCAGAAAUGAAGAUGAGUGGCAUGGAAUUUUUGAAAAUCUAGCCAAUUUGGUAAAAGUCAUUCUCCAAAAUGAAGAAAAAGAAUAAAUUUUCAUAAUGUACUUCGUGUGUCCAAAAUCUGUCCUUUUUGUAAGAGGGUCAAGAGUCUUAUAUAGAAUAUGCUCAAUUUCACAUGUGCACAAGCUAAGAAAGGAAUUAUUUUUUAGCAAAACACGCUUGAAUUUCCUGGGGGGAAAAGCAUCUUUUUAACAGAUUUUAUACAGUUGACUCUUGGAUAUUUUCUAUUUUAAUAUCUUAUCUCAAGCAAUUGGGACAGUUGUUCAUCACUCGACGUUUCCAAGCAUUUACUAAAGAUUCUUUCAAGUUAGAACCCUCAAAUUAACCGUUUAGUAUUUUUAAAAUUGCCUCAGAACCAAACCUGAUUCUAGGCUUGAGUCGUGUGACUCUGAUCCAAAGACCCUCCACCCCCCNNNNNNNNNNNNNNNNNNNNNNNNNNNNNNNNNNNNNNNNNNNNNNNNNNNNNNNNNNNNNNNNNNNNNNNNNNNNNNNNNNNNNNNNNNNNNNNNNNNNNNNNNNNNNNNNNNNNNNNNNNNNNNNNNNNNNNNNNNNNNNNNNNNNNNNNNNNNNNNNNNNNNNNNNNNNNNNNNNNNNNNNNNNNNNNNNNNNNNNNNNNNNNNNNNNNNNNNNNNNNNNNNNNNNNNNNNNNNNNNNNNNNNNNNNNNNNNNNNNNNNNNNNNNNNNNNNNNNNNNNNNNNNNNNNNNNNNNNNNNNNNNNNNNNNNNNNNNNNNNNNNNNNNNNNNNNNNNAGCCCUCAUUUGACAAAACUAACAAUUGAAUUUAUGGGCCUGCCUAUCACACAAACAUGCCCAACUCUGAGCUAAAUUAAACGGACAAAUCAAUUGAGGCCCAAAGUCAAAAAUGGACGAUACCAAAAUCCGAGACAAAUCAACAAACAAUUAUACUACACUAGAACAUGUAUUUAACUGUUAACCUAAAUAUAGAAUUAUUCAAAUUAACAAUCAAACACAAACCAACAAUCAGAAAAAACCUAAUAGGGAACUACGAAGAGAACAGAAUUAUCCAUUAAGGCAGAGGAUGAUAGGACAUAAGUGUAUCGAUCUUCAAACCUGUGGGCGACGAUUUGACUGGGUUCCAGUGGUUUUGAAAUGAACUAAGACUAACAUUAAUUAGUUUUUCUUGUUAAGAAGAAUUAACCAAUGUGAAUUUUAGGUCAAAAUAAAUAAAUUCACCAAAGAAAUUCAAAAAAGGAAAAUUUGGGUUUCUAGGAUUUCUGAGAUUUGAAAUCUAGGGAAUUCUAGUGAGAAUUGGGAAAUGAAUCUGGGAUGUUUUGAAAUAGGAGGGGAUGUGGAGUGUAGGGUAAAAUUUUGGGAUGGUUUGGAGAUUGUCUGCUGCCGUGAGAUGAUUUCUUGAAGGCGGCGGGCGGUGGGAAUUUGAGAGAGGUAAGAGAUAGAGAGACUAAUAAUUUGGGGGUGAAUUUUGAGAUAUUUUUAUUAUAAUAGGGUCUUAGUUAGGAGCCGUCAAAUCAAAAUGUACGAUCGAAAUCACUUGACACUCAAACGGUGACGUUUGAUUUAAAUGGGAGCUAGACCAGAUUUUUAGGUCUAGGCUGGGACAUGCAUGAAGGGAAACUGGGCCAUUGGAGCUUUUGGCCCAGUUAUAAACAAGACUAACACUUCUUUAAUUCUUUAUUUUAUUUUUUAAAAUUUUAAAAAAAUAUAGUCAAAUUAAUUAAACACCAAAACUAAUUUCUAAAUCAAAUAUAAAUUAAAAUUAAUCCUAAUUACUUAUUUUUUAUCAUUUGAACACUAGAUUAAUUCAAAACUAAUGAAAUAAAAUUACUAAUUUAAAGCUAAUAUGUGAAAUAGAGUUAUUUAUGUGAUUGUUUCAAUAAUGAAAGUAACUUAUGCAAUUAAAUUCGAAAUGCAAUUAAGGCCUAAAAAUGAUAUGUAAUGAAAAUUUGGAUAUUUUUUGGUAUCUAUGAUUUAAAAAGCACAUGAAAAAUGCAACUAAAUACAAACAAUUAAUUAAUAAAAAUUUCUACAAAUUCUAUUAAAAUUAAAAACAAUUAAGGAAAAAAGUAUUUGUGAAUUUUGUAGGAGUAUUUUAGUCUGGAAAAAGUUACCUGCUGACAAAUACUAUUGAUUUCCAAUCCCUGGCAACUGCGCGAAAAUAUGACGAGCGCAAAACACAAUACGAAAUUGAUGCUCGCUAGCCAAGGAUGGUAUAGUUUAAUAUUCGUCCUCACAAGGAUUGAAUUUAAAUAAUGUUCAGGUAAUUUCUAGCUUAACCCAAUUCAGGAUGAUUAACACUUUGGUUGGGAUGAUUAAUAACUAAAAUAAACUACGAAAACUAAUGCAAUUAAUAAUUGAUCACAGAAAGACAAGAGUUGAGCAAUACUGAAAUAAUCAAUGAGAGAAAUAAGGAUCGUAGCAGGAUAGGUGCAAGAUAGCUAUUCGGGUCUAGCUCUAGUUCAAUUCACUAUGAUAUUCUAAUGAUUCUUAUGAAUUCACUCGAUGAUCAAUUCAAAGAUGUAGCCAAGUCUCCUCUCGAUUAAAUCUUAACUCUACGAGGUGAACUAAUACAAUACCCUGUGAAAAAUAUGCAAAACCUCGUUUAAUGGAUUAGUCCUUAGAAAAACAUCUCUCGAAAAUUUUCUAACUUGAUUUAAUUAAUAAUUCAACAAGCUCAUUUGAUUACUUAGCAGAAUCACUAGAUUAAACCAAAUAAAAUAACACGAAGAUAAACACCAAAAUAUUCCUGUUCCGAUUAAAUAAAGUGGUUACUAAAAUUUCAUUCAAUUAAAAGCUCCAUAAAUGAAUUCAUGCAAAGAACUAGAGUUAAAUCUACAAAGUUAAAUCAAAUACCAUAUUUAUCAAACUCUACGGUAAACUACUCUAUAAUCAUGGAGAAAAUAGCCAUAAACAAAGUUGAAUAAUAAAAAACAUGAAUUCAAACUAACAUCGGGUGUUGAAUUAAGGAAAGAAUGAUGAAUUCUUGUAUUUUGAGUAUUCAAUGCUAUUCCCAUCUUCUGUAAGUCAAAAAUCCUCUAAAAAUUAUGCUUUUGGUGUAUUUACACCAUGUUAGAACGAGCACAAACGAAACUAUCCUUUUCAAGCCGAAGUGGAAAAUUUUGGAAACUAUUUUGUACUAGCUCCCCGCGCACGAAGCAUGGUAGUUUAUUUUUUCCAGAGUAAGUAUUUUUCUUAAUUUUCUAAAUCCAAACUUGGUCCUCGAACCUCGAACACAAUCCCAGCUUAAUUCUUUAGGUUUCUACUCAGAAUUCAGAGCUUCAAUUCAUUCAUCUUAGCUCUAAACUUUCUUCUCAACUCGAAAUCGCAUUCUACACCAAUAUUUUAAAAUGGCGAGGCCUAAGGUGAGGUGUUUUACCUCUAAUGAAGUGAUGCGUAAGUCCUAAGACAUGGGCGUAAGUCCCAUUGAUCUUUAAAUUUACUAAUUUCAACAAUUUUAAGAUUAUAAAAUAAAAAAUAAUUAUUAAAAUUGUAUUUAAAUCAUAAAAUUAUAACAUAUAAUCUGUUUAAAAAAUUUAUAAAUUAUAAUUCAACUAUUAAUGAUACAAAAAGUAUGACAUAUGUAAUAUGUAAAAUAGUUGCAAUAUCGUUACAACUCAAACAUCAAAAGUAAUGUAUUUGAUGCGAAAUCUUAUACUUAUCUCUUAAGGAUUAAGGAAUCUUGAAAGAAUUUCGAUAUUAUACUUUGAAUUUUUUUUAAAUACUUCUUUUAUCUAAUGUGUUUUCUAUUUGAAAGAGAACUUGUAUAAAAACACAAUUCACAAUAAAUAUAAUUCUCUAGCAUAGUUUCAACAAGUACAAGUUAAUAAAGUGACAUAUAAUUCACCAUACUAUACCAUGAUAACUAAUUAUUUGUAAAUAAUUACUAGCUAAUACUGAGCUAUUAAACUAGUAAGUGUUACUUUGUAAACGUAAAAAAAGAAAAAUUAAGAAAAAAAUUUCAAAACUUUUUUGGGCUAUUAUAUAAUAAAGGCAUAAAAAAAAGUUAAUAAUUAAAUACUUUUUAAAUGAUAGAUUUAAUCUAAAUUUACUAUGAUAGAAAUUUUAGUGGAUGCCGUACAAUGAUUUUUAUUUAUUACGACAUAAAAUACUCUCAACUUAAUGAUUUAUAAUUAUGAAAAAGUAAUUUUGAAUAUUCAACGAUUUAUUAAGAAAAUUUGAGGAUUUAGAAAGUUAGUUCCACACAAUUGCGUAAAGUUCUAGUAGGCAAGCCCAAUACGCUGGGUGUUGGAUGUGUAUGGGGCAUAAGCACCCACGACCGGGGCGUAAGUCUUACGGAACUAAGCCCUACAUACAAGUUCAAGGGUGUUUACGAGUGCUCCAUCCCUGGGCGAGUUCCGGACGAGUCCUAAUUCUACCUUUUAAGACAGAAUCCUAUACAACAUAGCCACUUAUUGAAAUAAGAUUUGAACAAUUUAGAUCAAGUGAUGAAAAACUAAUAAAUCAGAAGUCAGAUGCUAUUUUCUAGAUUAAUUGGAAUCAUUUAAACAAGGUCGAGGUCUAUUAAGUUUUGUAACCAUUGCGGCCAAAGAGGUUCCACAUCCAAAAAUUAGAGCUAUGCAGGGUCGAUAAUCUUCAAAGAGACUUUCUGCAAGUUGGAGGCUGCAAGUUAAGAUGAAUAGUAAAAGAGAUGGUUGUAGGAUCAAGGUUGUGAAAGAGACACGUGUCACAUAGCGACUAGGGAGCGUUGAGAAUUAAUGACAAUAUUGAACAUGUCUCUACAAGGGACUUGUAUAAACUGCAGUUCUUUCCAAGCAAAAGCAAAGCCUUAAAAGGGCAUAGGAAAACAGGCUAGCGAGUGCUUUAGUUUAAACUCGUCAUUAAAAACAUGGCUUCUAAACCAGGCAUUCUAACAGAAUGGCCAUGGACAUGGCUUGGGAACUUCAAGGUAUAUACGUACUCAUCUUCCUUCUCAUGUCUUCUCUUGAAUUUUCCAUCUGAUUUAUUCUCACUUUAUAGUCCAAAUAUCUAUGUAUACUAAACUAAAGACGCGGCAUUGCAGCAAGUGAAGGAUGGUGUUGUCAGUUGAACACCUUUCGUAGGAAAAUAAGACCGUGUAUAUAGGCCAAAUUCUACUUUUGUAUAUUGGCCAAAAUUUUGAAUACUUGAGCAUCCUUAAUGAAAUUCGGAAUUUCGCCAAUGCUAAAUUAUACAGUAAAACAUAUAUGGUUAAGUAGUUGGAUUUUAAGAAACUAUCUUCUUAUUUUCUCUCACUGUUGCUAAAAAACCUAUUCCUUGAAUAUAUCCAAUAAGCAAGACAAAUAUGUAGCAAUCGUGCAUAUUGUACAGUGUAGGAAUAAAAAUAAUAUUACAAUCUGAUAACUACUUCAAGAAUUAAUUAUAUCACACUUUUUUCUCAAUAUCUCAAAUUUAAUUUGAAAAUUAGUUAUUCUCUACCACUUGUACCAAAAGAGCCCCAAUUAUUUUGGCAGUCUACCUUUGUAGUGGGAUUUUAAUUCUAACACAUUAAAAUUCUGUGCCACUUAUGGAGGACUGCACGUUAUGAAGGCCCCCAAAGAUGCACCUAACAAUAAACAAGAACCUGAGAGCAACAAAGAACUGCAUGUUAAAUUCCAUUUGAUUACAAAAAUAAAUAAAUAAAGGCAAUAGUGUAGAAAAAAAUGAAAGAGCAAUAUAAUUGGCUAUUUGUGACUCUUUAAAUGGGUCUACGUAUAUAGGUAGUGACAAAACUUCAAGUUCUUAACAUAGAAAAUAAAUGGAGUAGCUAAUAGCUCAUGAUUUUUUAAGAAUAAUAAAUUUAAAUAGUCGUUCAUCCGACCGCUUAGACUAAAAAUAAGCAACAUAUACAUAUAAUAUUUGUAUAUCCACAUAUAAUAUGUAUAUCCUGUUAAAUCUUUGUGUACCGCCUAAAAAAAAUAAAAAGUGAAUAUGGCUGAUUAUUUCUCCCUUAACAACAUAUAAACAAAAGUGCAAUUAUUAUGUUAGAUGGUUAAUUUAAUCCAUAUUUUCUAUGCCACUUUGCACCAAUAUAACAAUGGAAAAAAACCAUGUAUUAAUGCCUUAUAACGUUAUUUCUGUGUUUUGGCAGCUGUGAUUCAUCCAUUUGCAGAGCAUAUAUCAUACUUCUUGCUAUUUGCCAUACCACUUCUCACAAGUGUGCUAACUGGGACUACUUCAAUAGUUUCAUUCUGUGGAUAUAUUACUUAUAUUGAUUUUAUGAACAACAUGGGCCAUUGCAACUUUGAGAUAAUUCCAAAAUGGAUGUUCUCCAGCUUUCCUCCUCUCAAAUACUUGAUGUAUACACCCUCGUAAGUCUCUUAUUCCUCUAUUGAUAAUAUGGUUGUCUUAUCUUUUUUAUAUAUCUUCAUUUGGUGCAUCAAUAUAUUCUCCUUUAUUUGUCCAACUUCUGUAUUCACGUAGCUAGCAAUGUUUCUUUGGAAAUUUAGGAAGAUCUUAAGCAUUAAAAAAUUGACAGAUAGCAAGUCUAAACUAGCCCUUAUGAGUUUGUAAAAUCAAUAUUAUAGUCUCAGAAAGUAGAAUAUAUAUCAACGUAGAUUUUUGAAUUAAAAAUUACUCGAGGAAAGACGAACUUUAUUAAAAUAAAAGUUUUUAAAUUUCCGUAAAGAAUUAAUUGAAUCACAUAAGAAAUUUUUUAUUUUGCAUCUCACACAAGUGACAUUAGUUGUGUAAGGUUUUGAAUUGUUUCACAGCAAAGUGGAUCAAUUCUUACACAUUUAGGUCCAAUUUAUUAUGAGACAAAACAAAGUCCUGCACAAAUAAUGUCAGCUUUGUGAUCCACAUAAUAAAGUUAGGUUCUAGCUUCCAACUUUCUCAAAAAUUUUAUUUUCCUUCGGCUAAUUGUAGUUAUUUAAUUGCACAGGUACCAUUCACUCCAUCACACACAAUUUAGAACAAACUAUUCACUUUUCAUGCCAAUGUACGAUUACAUCUACGAUACGCUGGACAAAUCUUCAGACACAUUAUACGAAAAAUCAGUCGAAAGGCAAGGCAAAUCGCCAGAUGUAGUGCACCUAACACACCUAACAACCCCAGAAUCCAUUUACCAUCUCAGGCUAGGAUUUGCUUCUUUAGCCUCAGAACCUUACACUUCUAAGUGGUAUUUUUGGUUAAUGUGGCCUGUUACAUUGUGGUCUAUGAUGGUUACUUGGAUUUAUGGUCACACAUUUACUGUUGAGAGAAAUGUGUUCAAAAGUCUGAAUUUGGAAACUUGGGCAAUCCCAAAAUAUCGCAUACAAGUAAGUAUUUGUAAUAUUUAUCGACAUUUUCACUAUGUUCACUAUUGAAGUAUUUAUUUAUUUUUGGCCUAUUUUUGGUUUCAGUAUUUUAUGCAAUGGCAAAGAGAGACGAUUAACAAUUUAAUUGAGGAAGCUAUCAUGGAAGCAGACCGAAAAGGCAUAAAAGUGUUGAGCCUUGGACUCUUAAAUCAGGCGAGUAACAUACUCCUUUUUUGUAAUUCAUGUGGCAAUAUCAAUCUUUUUGAGUGUCAGGAAUCUGAAUUUGCAAACUUGGGCGAUCCCAAAAUAUCGCAUACAAGUAAGUAUUUAUCCUAAUAUUUAACGACAUUUUCACUAUGUUCACUUUUCAAGUAUUUAUUUAUUUUUAGCCUAUUUCUUGAUUUGGUUCCAGUAUUUUAUGCAAUGGCAAAGAGAGAUGAUUAACAAUUUAAUUGAGGAAGCUAUCAUGGAAGCAGACCGAAAAGGCAUAAAAGUGUUGAGCCUUGGACUCUUAAAUCAUGCGAGUAACAUGCUCCUUUUUUUGCAUUUUAUGUGGCAAUAUCAAUCUUUUUGAAAGUCAAUCAGGUUCUUUUUUACCAUGCCUUUGGAAAAUAUUUUAAAAAUAAUUUAAAUUAUUAACUAUUAUGGUUAUAGUACUAUUUUUGUAAUUUCUACAUAAAUUUAUAUCCGAAUUCACACAAAAGAUAGAGUACUUUUACCCUCCUACCACGAACCUUACCAUUAAGGAACAUAGGAAGUGUUAAGGACCUGUUUGAUCGUAGAUUUUGUUAAGUUUUUUCCAAAUAUUUUUGGCAAAAUCUAUUUAUUUAUAUAUUUAUCCAAAUUUUGGCAAAUUUUGAAAACAAAAUUCCCAAAUCCUAAAACUAGCUCUACACCUGUUUUUGGCCCAAAAUAUACCUUUGAAUUUUUUAACAAUUUAAAAAAUUACCCCAAACUUUUAUAUAUUAUAAAAAGCACACCAUCUAUUAUGACGCAACUAAUCCAUCAGCUGGUUACUAUCAUUUUUUUCUAGAACGGUUGGAUAUUGUAAUAUUAUUACAAUUUGAAAAUCUAUGGUCAAACGCUAGCUACGAUUCAAAUAAUGCCUAUUUGUACUUUUUACUUUCAGAAAUUUAAUUUCUAUGUGAUAGUCAGCUCUGAUGCCUCUAUACAUGAAAUUUUACAGGAGGAGCAACUGAAUAAUAAUGGUGAGCUUUACAUAAGAAGGCAUCCUGAGCUCAAAGUGAAGGUGGUUGAUGGAAGUAGCCUAGCUGUUGCUGUGGCCCUAAACUCUAUUCCUAAAGGAACUACACAAGUGGUCCUUGGAGGCCAUUUGUCGAAAGUUGCAAAUGCCAUUGCCCUUGCCUUAUGCCAAGGGGGAGUCAAGGUCUCUUUAAUUGUAAAAAUCAAACACUUUAUUUGCUCACAUAGUGUCCUUUUUCUCAUUUAUUUUGAUUGUGAUAGGUCGUGACAUUGAGAGAAGAAGAGUACAAGAAGCUCAAAUCAAGUCUUACACCCGAAGUCGCAACUAAUUUGGUUCCCUCAAAAACAUAUGCUUCAAAGGUACAAAUAACAAAAAACAAUGAAAUUAGAUUGUUAAUCUUGAUUAUUUAUUAAUGAGUUUAAGUUACCAUCGGUCUAAGAAUUUUCUACACCAGUAGAUCAUUUUUAUCUAUUAUAGGUGGUAGCUUGUUUUAUUUUCAAGAUUAUAGAUCUUACAUUUUACGAAAGCUCACCUAUAUAUAAAUAUUACCUUUAGAUAACAACGUAUAUGACUUAAACUCUUUGUUAAAAAUAAAACCUCGAUUUAUACUAUUUGAAACCCCACCUUCACUCCCGCCCAAAAAAAAAAGUAAAAUAAGAAGAACAAAGAGAAAAAAAAAGAUUUGAAAAUAAAGAAAGUUACUGCACUUAACAAAGCAUUGAAUUGCAGAUAUGGCUAGUAGGUGAUGGAUUGAGAGAAGAUGAACAAUUGAAAGCACCAAAAGGCACAUUAUUCAUUCCCUUUUCACAAUUCCCGCCAAGGAAAGCUCGCAAGGACUGCCUCUACUUUCACACACCAGCCAUGAUCACUCCAAAACACUUUGAAAACGUGGACUCCUGUGAGGUAAUAAUAUUCUAAAUUCCCUUUGUUUUUUCUUCUUUUUUCAGUUUCACUAAAAAAAAAUCAAUUUUUUCUUUUAAUAAAACAAUAGAAUUGGCUUCCAAGAAGAGUGAUGAGCGCAUGGCGAGUAGCUGGAAUAUUGCACGCACUGGAAGGCUGGAAUGAGCACGAGUGUGGGAACAUGAAGUUUGAUAUUGAGAAAGUCUGGAAAGCAAGUCUUGAUCACGGUUUUAGACCAUUGACUACGGCUUUUGCUUCUGAAUCCAAGGCUUGAGUUAGACAUUUGUGUUUGUAGUUACUAGCUUGAGUUUGGUGGCAUAUGAGCUUAUUAUUAAAAAUGCAUACUAUAUAAAGUACCAAUUUGAUGUCAAAUCUUGUUGUUCCUAUUAUAUAAGACCUUUUUCAUUUUUUUUUAAUUAUCAAUUUCGUUCUCCGAAUGUAUUAGUACUAGAUUACGUGAUCUAUUACAUAUAUAAGAUCAAGCUUUGUAAGAAAUAUAAACAAAUGAGUGGUUGAUGAAAUAUUUGUGAGUACAAAGCCAUUCACUAAAAAGAAAAAGGACUGAUUCUGCCGCUAAUUAAGUUUAAUGACGACGACAACAACAAUAACAAUAAUAACAAGUUUAAUGACGAAUUAUAAAAAUAAAUCCCGUUAGCGACGGGUUAUAUACCGAUAUGCCAAUUCCUAAUUUUUAGUGGUUGGAUAUACUAAUAUAUUAUCUUUUUAAGUUAGAGUGGAAUAGGGGAAUAGAAUUGGAUUGUCUGGUAGGUGUAGGAAGGGAAUUUUAUAAAGAUUAUGCAGGAAAAUAGUGUUGUUCUAUUGAAAGCUUUAUUCAAGAGAGAAGGCAAAGGUUCAAAAUCUUCUAUUUUAUAUGUACUAAUUUAUGUGGAGUAAAUUAUUUAAAUAGUCACUCAAUUAUCAUAAAUUAUCUUAUAAAGUUAUUUUACUUUCGUUUGUAUCAACAAAGUUACUGAACUAUGCAUCUUGCACUCAAAGGUCACUCAACUAAAUUUUUCAAAGUUCGGAUUGCCAAAUACGUAUUUUACCAUUUAAAAUAUAAACAUUUAUCUUCUUCUUAUUUUUUUUAAAAACUUUUUAAUAUCAUGAUCUUACUUUUCUAAUUUAUAUUGGACUUACCUAUAGAAUAAAUAAAUAUUAUUUAUAAAUUAAAAAAAAGUACUUAAGCUUAUAUAAUACUGGAAUAACAAAAUAAUGAGCGUAGUAAAAAAUAUUAAUUAGAAUAAUUUGUUAGUAAUAAUAAUUUAGUGUUUACAACAAAAAUACAAAAAAUUAUUUACACAAUUUAGAAUGAAAGAAAAUAAAGGUUGUAAAAUAUUUAUUUCAUGCACGUAAUAUAAAAAUAAUUAUUUAAAUAAAGGUAUUUAAUAAUAUACAUUAUAUAUUCUUGAAAAUUAUGCUCAAUUAUGAGCAUAAAAAAUAGGGUUGUUUGCUUUAGAAGAUUAUUCGCUUGCAUGGUAUACAUGUUUCUAUCAUCUCAGAUGGUGGUACUCAAUUUAUAUCUUACUUUUGGAGAGUAGUUCAGUGUGAUGUGGUCACGCGGGUGGACUUAAGUACUCUUUUCACCCUCAAACAAACGGGUAGUCUGAGUAGAGCAUUCAGAUCUUGAAGGAUAUGUUGAGGACCUGUGUAUUUGAUUUUGGAGGAUAUUGGGAUCAGCUUCUAACUUUGGCAGAAUUUGCCUACAACUACAACUACCAUUCUAGUAUCUACGCGGAUCUAUAUGAGGCAUUAUAUGGGAGGAGAUGUCGCUCUCUGAUUGGUUAGUUCAAGUGUGGUAAGGCUAGGUUAUUUGGCUAAGAUUUGGUUCGUGUUGCUUUGGAGAAUGUGAAGUUGAUUCAGGAGAUGCUUCGCAUAGCUCAGUCUAAACAGAAGAGUUAUGUGGACCAGAAAGUUUACAAUGUGGUAUUUAUGGAGGGUGAGAAUGUUUUUCUAAGAGUUUAGCCUAUGAAGGGCAUGUUGAGAUUAUGGAAAAAGGGGAAUUGAGCCUUAUAUUGGUCCAUUUGAGAUGUUAGAAAGAGUUGAUGAGGUGGCCUAUAGAGAGAGCAUGAUAUGCGGAACAAUCAUCCUCAUCCUUUUGACAUUUCAUGUAUGAUUCUAAACUUGUUCGAGGAUGAAUGCUUGUUUAAGAGGUAGAGAAUGUAACGACCCAUCUAGUUGUUUUGUGUAUUUGAGCUUCAUUUCCCUAUUUGAUGCAUAUGCUUGUUUGUUGUUUUGUGACUUGAAGGGAUUGUUGGCUUAGUUUAGAAAUAUAACACUUAGUUCCACUGUUAGAAGCUUAAGUUAUGGGAGUUGACCAAGGUUUGAAUCUUGAAGAGAUGACCUCAGAUUGGUGAUUAGAGAAUACUAACGUACUUGGAAGUUCCUAGAAGUUUUUGGCACUAAUUAUAGAAAGUUAAAAAUUUGAAGGUUUAAAGAGUUCAUAUUUUUAACAAAUAGUUGACUUUGAUGAUAUUAGACUCGGAAUGUUGUUUUUGAACUUGGAAUAGAUACAAUUAAUGGAUUGGAACUUAUGCACGAAAUUUAGUUGGAAUCCGAACUAUUUAGGCAUGAUUCAUAUGUGAUUGAUGAAGUUGGAUGGUUUGAACGUCAAGAGAUGGAUUUUGGUCUUCGAUUUGUAGAUUUGAUGUUAUUCAUGAUGGUUUGGGUCUUUGGCUUAGGAUUAGGUAUUACAAAUUAUUUUUACGAUAGGACGAGGUCCGAGAAGACUUUGAGUGUGUUUCGGAUUGGUUUUGGACUAUUUGAGAAUAGUUUGGCAAUUCUGGUUGUAGUGCAUCGUACCUGUGGAAGUUUGGGUGCAAGUGCGACUACUCUGUUGCAUUUGUGGGAUUGAGGUGAUCUGGGGCUGUUUUCGUCAAUAGGGAAAGCGGGCCGUAGGUACAUAGGCACAUUUAUAGAUAUCCUAAGUGUGCCUAUGCAGAUUGACGGUCCUCGGUCAUAUGCACACAUGUGAAUAAAGUGGAAACAUUUGUGAGGUCACAUAUGGCCGGAGAUGUGAAAGGUUGGAAGCAUUAGUCAGGAUCAUAAUAUGAGCGUAUAAGUGGUGUCGUAGAUGCGACCCUUUUAUCCGUAGAUGCAUUAUCGCUGGCAGAUUUUGUUCCGCUUUAAGAUUCGUCAUGCGUUCCUAUUGUUGAUGGUUUGAGGAGAUUGAUACUUUAGGGGCCUCAAAGUUUUGCAUCAUUCUAUUUAUUAAAGUGUUAUGAAGAUGUAUCGUAAAUUGAAGCAACACUACUGGUGGUGGAGGAUUAAACAGGAAAUUAUUGUGCUUGCUUUAUCAUAUUUGAAUUACCAAUACGUAAAUUAUGAACAUUAAAAACCAGGUAUUUCAACUCAGAAAAUGGUUACUAGACUGGAAUUAGAAGCAUAUUGGAAUGGACUUCGUGGUAGGCUUACCACGUACUAUGAGAAAGUUUGAUGCCAUUUGGGUCAUUGUUGAUAGUUGACUAAGUUUGUGCACUUGAUACUAGUGUUGACAACUUAUAAUUCAAAGAGGUUGGCCCAAAUUUACAUUUGAGAGAUAGUCCGUUUGCGUGAUAUGCAUAUUUCUAUUGUUUCAGACCUGGAUACUCUGUUCAUAUAUCACUUUAGAGAGUUAUGCGGUGGGAUUUAGGUACAUAAGCUACGCUUAGCACUUCUUUUCACACGCAUAUCGAUGUAAGUUAAAGCAGACCAUUUAGAUUCUUAAGGAGCUUGUGUGAUGGAAUUUGGAGGUUACUGGGAGCAUUUCUUGCCCUUGGCAGAGCUUGCUUAACACUAUAGUCAUUAGUGUGAGUAAGUGAUUUUUGCCCUACGCAAAUUACUCCUAUAAAUUCAAACAAAAUAAUUUCUUUAAUUUUUCACUAAUUGUUUGCAUUUAUUUUGUCUGUGCAUUUUAAUUAGUGAAAAAUACAAAAUAUAUUGCAUGCACAUCUGGAAGUUGAUUUGAUCAUUUUCAAGAAUUAAAUAACAAUUAGUCGUUUUAUAAAAAAAACUCAACAACAGUUUAACUUGCUCUUUUAAUUUUAAUUUUUGAUUUUUAAGGGGUUUUCUUUUAAUUUUGUCUUAAUUUCUAAAAUAGUUAUGUAGAUUUGAUUAGUAUUCCAUCGGUAAAUUUGGGAUUUGUAAUAAAUUUAGGAUUUUUAAUAAUUAUUGAAAAUGAAAAUCAAAGAAAAAUGAAAAAAGAUAUGAAAAAGAAGUCUGGAAAAUUAAUUAAAAAAGAAGAAGAGAAAAGACUCAAUUUGGGCCAGUUUCAAUUGAAUUUCAGCCCAAAACUCCCCAUAAUCCGGUCCAGUCCACACCCUAUAUCCGGUUCAGUCCCCCCAACAAAAACAACGUCGUUUUGGGCAAAACGAUCAGACCCGUCUAUGUUUCAUAAUAUGAUGGUUGAGAAGCCGGGGUAUAAUGAUAUAAAUAUGUGCAAACGAUCCCCAUCACCCCCAAAACACCUCAUCUCCAACCUGUAUCACAGAAACCUUAACGCCACCUCCCUCCGCCAUGCGUCGCCAGCCGAAAAUCACUGCCGCCGCCAGAGGACCCCAAUCACCACCAAAUUAACACCCUGAUUUCCCUUAGCCUCCUCUAUCCAAAUCUGUAACCCGCUUCCCUCGAAUCCCACCCCAUCCUGUCAAAUAUUGGUUUCAAACAACGGCUCCUCUGCCGUGUACGGCGCCACUGCCUCUAUUCCGCCCCAAAACCACAUCAUACAGUCUCCACACCUCCUUCACUUCAGAACCAUAGCUUGUUGCCCUCGAAUGUCCCCGCAAUUCCUCAAAAUCCAGAUCUAAGGUUUCCGGAAUCCUCCAAAUGGUGCAUGUAGAUUUUCAGGGUUCGAUUUAAAAGAAUUAAGCUAAGUUUUCUAAAUUUCUUUUCUAAUUUCGUUUGGCCUCACCUCUUUCUGCUAAAUUGUUGUCAUUAGUCUGAACAUGUUUAAUUCGAAAUUGCGUCAGUCUUAUUUGCUUAAUAUCUGAGUUCAAAAUUAGAUUCAAAUUGUGUUAGUCGAGUUGGCUUUAAUCUGUUAGUUCAAGUUUUCAUAUUAAAUUGAUAAGUUUAAAUUGAUUUUGAUUCGAGUUGUGUUAGUCUCUACCAGUUGAAUUGAUGUCCAUGUUAAAAUCCAUGUGUUUAAUUAGUAUUGAUUCAAAUUAUUUUAAUCUUCUCAGUGGAUUCUUGAGCCUAAAUUAGAUUUGGUUGUAUGGUUUGCUCACAUACUCGACUAAUCAUGAUUUGCUAAUCCUAAUUUUAAGCUAAAAUUUUUGAGUGUGAUUGAAACUUAGUUUAAGUUCAAAGGUGAAAUGCAAUAACAUUUAACUAAAAGUCUUUAAAAUGGUUGUAAAUAAUUUAAAAUCAGGACAUAGGGAGAAAUUGAAAUACCCAGCGAUUGAAAGGGCAAAUGAGGGAAUAAAUCUUAGAGAAUCUUUGCAUAACAAUAAUAAAAGUUUCUAGUAGGGGGUCCCCUAUUAAUUGCAAUGCUUUAACUUGGUUAACAAGUUAAAAACUAAGGGAACUAAGUGAAAUAAAAUAUCUGAAGGUUGCCCUAAUCCUUGCCUAUAAAGGCAUUCCAACCUUGCCUUUCAAAGCAGGUUUUCAGGGCUAAAAAAAGGGAAAAUUCUGAAAAGAUUUGAAGGAUAAAAAUUCUAAAAAAACAAAGAGAUUUGAGAUCUAAAAAGUGAGAUAAUAGAAGAACAAUCAUAAAGGUCAAAUAUAAACAUUUUACUGUUCCAUUGAAACACCUGUUGAAUCCUUUUCGAAGCUUGAAUUUCUGAAAUAGUUCCUUGAUGUGUUAAAAUGAACUGGGGUAUUUGUUUAUUGAAUUCCGGCGUUGAGGUCAAUUAGGUCUGCAUUAGAUUAUUUGGUUUGAAAUUAUGUCAAAAAAAUACUCAUUUGGGUCCUGUUGGUGUUGCUACUACUAUUACUGAGAUUGCUGCCUAGCUGGCCUUCAAUCUUCCUAUUAUGUUAUGAUUUCCAGGUAUUUACUUGACCUCCAAGUCAUAUUUGAAGUUUGAAUAAGAUAAUAUUUGAUCAGGCUUGAAGAAAUGAUGAAAUUGUUACACAUUUCCCUUUUUAAUCUCGUUCAUAUCAUCUGAUACAUGUUAGAUUUGCUUAUUUUGAUUUGGUGUAUCCUCAAGUACUUGCGAACAUGUUUGUUUAAAUCUAGGCUCCAUGGAAAUUUGAAAGUGGUAUGGUCUAGAUGUAUUAUUAUUUGUAAUAAUUGGACUAUAUGGGCUCAUGAAUAUCCAUUUAGUAUUGUUAGUUUAAUUUUAAUGUUUUAAGGCAUGCUAUCAUGUUAGUUUGAACGAUAAAAAUUGAAAUGUAAUAUGGGCCUAAACCUGGUUUUAGGACCAAUGUUUGUAUUUAGUACUAAUGUUAAGUUUGAGUUUAAUAAAUGUUUGAAAUGGAUCUAUGCUUCGGUGUUUAACUUCAGUAGUUUGGCUCUAAAAUCAGAAAACUAACGAUUCUAAAUCUGUACCCAAUAAUUCAAGCAUCUCCUUUGGUUUGAAAAUAUUAAUCACUUUAGUUUGUUGUUGAAUUUCAGAAAUGAGAGUAGUAGCUCAUUAGCUUAAACAUGAUCUGAAUAAGAGUAUGAAAUUUGAUUUUUAAGCUGAGCAAGCAUCUGAUUUAAGCAAAUUUAAAUUGUUCAUUUGUUACAAAAUUGAUCAUUUGUGAGGUCCAAUUUAAAGUCAAUGUUGAUUUGGGCUCAUUUUGGGCUAAAACUAGUCAGAAUUGUUUGAAUGAAGUUCGGGGCCUCUUUUGGGCCAAUUACAAGCCCAAUAUUGAGUUCCGGCUUCAAGUAGUGGAUACGAAAUAAAAACACCAGCAAUGGCAAUUGUCUUUGUUCGAAAUUUGGGCCUAACUUGGUGGGCUCAAACUUGCUCUUCUUAUUAAAUACUAUUUGUUGGGUCAAGUCGUUCUUGUUAGGAAAAUUAGCAUCACUAUAAAUAAUUAAUUAGAAUUCAGCGAUAGUUUAAUGUUAAUUAUUUUAACCCUUUAAUUGGAAUAGGAGUUCAACUAUGCUAGAUAAAAAUAGUUCAUGGAUUUCAAGCCUUGGUCAAACGUCCUUUAAAAGAAAAAAACAAUAAAUAAGUUAAAUUGAGGUGCGCCGCGCCAAAUAAAAUCGUGAAUUGCAUGGACCUCAUGUAAUUAUGUCUUUAAACUACUUAGAAUUUUGGUGGGCCAUUUAGCAAACUUUCAUGGCCUCCCACAAAGAUAUCAACAUGCUAGUUUUUUUCGGCACAAAUUUAAUAAAGCUACUUUCUUAAACUCGGGUGGCAUCUCAUGUGAACGAAAUUCAAAUUCCAAAAUAUUGAAUAAAAUGUGUUUCGGAUCCGGGUGCAUUUCAUGUGACAUGAUCCAAAAACACGUCUUAAACUUAAAAAUUAAUUAAAAGUGAAAAAUAAUUUUAAAAUUGCACUAUUGAUUGAAACAUGUAUUAAAAUAAGAUAUUAUCGUGUAUCUUUUUCAUCUUUACCCUUUUUUCUUUUCAAUCUCGCAUCAUAUCUUUUAUUUCUUUCAUAACCUCCCUUCCACAUUAUGCCUUAAAGCUCUAGUGUAAUACAUGCACCUUUGAUGCAUACAAAAUCAUGUGAUAAUUUUAUAUUGACUUGUUACGACUCAGCUCUAUGGCAUGAUCUGGAAAUAAAAGAAGGGUAACAUUUCCUAAAUUCCUUAAAGCAUCUCAAUUAUAAAUAUGGUACGCAACUCAAUCAUAGGUUAGACUCUACAAAGCAUGGUGUAACGACCUGUUUGGUCAUUUUUUGAAUUAACUCCACGAUCCCCAACUAACUGCUUUUCUCGUGUUUGGUUCUACUAUUGUGAGUUUUUGGGAAGAUCUAUUUUAAGCUUCAGAGUGUUUUGGUAUACUUAGUCCCUAAAUGAGAGCUUAAACAUUAAAAUUUGAACCUUAGUCGCAACAAUGUGAAGACGGCCUCGGAAUGGGAUUCCGUAAUUUUUGUUAGCUUCGUUGCGUGAUUUCGGGCUUAGGGGCGUGUUCGGAUUGUGUUUUUGAGGUUCGUAGCUUAUUUAGGCUUGAAAUGCCGAAAGUUAAAUUUUUGAUGUUUCCAGAUCAAUAGUGAGAUUUUAAUAUCGGGGUCAAAAUUCGAUUUUGAAAGUUGGAAUAGCUCCUUAGUAUUGAAUGUGACUUGUGUGCAAAAUUUUGACUCAAUCAGACUUGGUUUAUUUGGUUUUGUCAUCGGGUGCAGAACUCUUAAGAUUUCAAGCUUAGUAGGCUUGGAUUGGAGGGUGAAUCAUGGUUUUAGCAUUGUUUUUUGUAAUUUGAGGAUUGUACUAAGUUCAUAUAAUAUUUUAGGAUUGGUUGGCAUGUUUGGUAGAGGUCUCGAGGGCCUUAGGUGAUUUUCGGAAGUUUAACGGAAGUUGAAUUUGGACUUAGGCUAUUCUGAAGUUUUCUACUUUUGGUAUUUUUGCACCUGCAGUGAGGAGCCCCCAUAUGCGAGUAAGUAGGUCAUAUGUUCGAUUUGAGCACUAAUGGCCAAUGAUAGCAGAUGUGGUUAUUGGAGCGAAGAAACGGAGCGCAUCUGCGAGGAAGGAGCGCAUGUGCGAUUUCUGCCCAAUUAAUGAAAUCUCACAGGUGUGAGUCCCCAACUGCAGAAGCAGAACCAAUGUUCGUCCUAUGAUUGUAGAAGUGGAAAUCAUUGGGCAGAAAUAUGAAAAUUUGAGGGUUUGAAGCUCAUAUCGCCAAAUUUGAUUUUUAGCUCGGGAGAAGACAAUUUUGUGAGAAUUUCCAAGAGGAAAUUAGUGGGUAAAGAUUCAUUAUCCCUUUAUUGUUGUAGUCCAUUAAUCUAAUCUUAGUUUUGUUAUUUAAUUUUGGAUUUGGGUGAAAAACUGAGAGAACUAAGUAAAAGUUCUCCAACUUAAAAUUAGAGUUUUGAGGGAGAUUUUGACGUCAGAUUUUGAUGAUAUUUGUUUGAGUGCACUCGUUAGUGAAUGGGUGCUCACAAUCCAUAAAUUUUAUUUGAUUCCGAGACGUAGGCCUUGUGUGUUUUUUGGGAGUUUUUCUAUUUUAUUACCUUAGCUUCGAUAACUUUAGCUAAUUAGGUAUUUAUUGUUGUAUUGAGAUUGUAAAAUUUAUUUGAUUAUAUUUGGGUCACUCAGGGUUAGAUAAUCGUGGCAAGAGUGUGACUUUGAUUAAUUUUGAGCCGGUUUAAGGUAAGUGGCUUGCCUAACCUUGUGCGGGGGAACUACCCUUAGUAUUUGGUGUUCUUAUUAUAUGAAUGUCGUGUACGUGAGGUGACGAGUGUGCAUACGUGCUAAUUGUUUGAAAACCUGAACACUACUUGCAAUUAAAAGUAUUCUGCUUAAUUUAGGAAAGCAUGCCUAAGUGCCUUAACUGUUCUACCUUCUUAAACUAUUACUUGAAUUCUGUGCACGUGAUUAGAAUAGAAAUAUCUGUUUUCUUGGUACAAACUAGGAUAGAACUUAUAUUCUUCUUGAGACUAUUGUCUGUAUACUUCGAGACUAUGGGACGAUGUCUCGGGAGAUCCCCUUGCAUGUUUACUAUUGGACUACGGAUUAGUAUUUCGGGAGAUGCCUCUGCACAUUUAUAUUUGGGACUACGAGACGACAUCUGGGGAGAUUCUUCUUGUAUUGGAUAUUGAAUUUGGGACUACGGGUUGGUAUUCUGGGAGAUCUUCUAGACAUUUACGUUUGGGACUAAUGGACGGUAUCCCAGGAGAUCCCCUAUUGCUAACUUUUUGUACUGAUUUAUAUUCCUUCCCUAAUUCUAUUCUUUAUUGACUGUUAGUAUUUUUCUUAUGUUGUCGCAUUUCAUAUUGUUUCUUUAUUUUUAUAUAUAUAACAAGUAUGGCCCUGACCUUCCUCAUCACUACUCGAUCGAGAUUAGGCUUGGCACUUACUGGAUAUUGCUGUGGUGGACUCAUGCCCUUUCCUGCACAUGUUUUUUGUGUGUAGAUCCAGGUUCUUCUUCUCAGCCUUUCUUUCAGUGAGGCGGUUGAUGUAAGAGACUUCGAUGUACAUCUACCGCGUCCGCAGAUCCAUAAUUCCCUCUCUGUUCUUCUCUUAGCUUUAGACUUCCUGUAUUUACUUUUGAUUAGACAUUCUAGAGUUAGAACACUGUGUAGUAUUUAUAGCUUGUGAUUUCAUGAGAUUCUGGGUUUUGGCAUCUUUAUUUUAGUAUCAAGAGAGUCUAUCGUAUUUUCCGAGCAGCAUUUAAAACUCUUCUAUUAUGCUUUUAACGGUAACUUGCCAGUUAUUGCAUUUUAUUUCCCUUUUCCACAAUUUGUUAGGCUUACCUAGUCAUAGAGACCGGGUUCCAUCACGGUAGUUCACGGAGGGAGAACUUGGAUCGUGACAAGUUGGUAUCAGAGCUCUAUUUUCAUAGGAUUCAUGAAUCACAAGCCGGUUUAUUAAAGUCUCGAAGAUCGGUACGGAGACGUCUGUACUUAUUUACUAGAUGCUAUAAAAUUAUUAGGAAAAUUUGACUUCAUUUGAUUUCCUUGUUGUGUGAGAUUUUGAUGUCAAAAUUUUAAACCUAUGUCUUCUAUUCUCUCACAGAUGGUGAGGACACGUGCUACUGGAGAUGACCAAGCACUCGUGCCCUCUAUUCGAGCCAUUAGAGGUCAGGGCUGGGGUAGAGGCCAAGAACGCAUAUAUGGUGCUACCAUAGCACCUACACGAGAUGCCACACAGGAGCCACCAGCCGCUCCACCUGGAGCCCAAGCACCUGAUACGCCUACUGCUACUACUACAGCACACCAAGAGACUCAUGCAUAGUUAAUGAGUAUGUACACCACUCUAGUUCAAGUAGGGUUGCUUCCCCUUACUACAACCACAUCUUAGGUAGGGGGAGGAGCACAGACUCCAGUCGCCCGCACUUCUAAGCAGCGAGUAAAGGUUAUGGAGGUCCAAAAGGUUAUACCGGUAUCGCCUACAACCCUAGUUCAUCCCAAGCAUAAGGAAGUAGCUUUAGAGGAGGAAUAGAGGAAGCUUGAGAGGUUCCAGUAGUACCAACCUCCUAUAUUCAGUGGUCUAGAAUCGGAGGAUGCCAAAGGAUUUCUAGAAGAGUGAUAUCGUAUCCUCAGCACUAUGGUUAUAUCAGGAUCGACUGAGGUUUCUUUCACUACCUUCCAGCUUCGAGGAGCAGCCUAUCAGUGCUGGCGUACUUAUAAGUUAGACACUCCAGCUGAGGCAGUUUCCCUAACAUGGACUCAGUUUUCAUAUAUGUUCCUGAGACAGUAUGUCCCUCAAAGCCUCAAGGACACCUGGCACGCAGAAUUUGAGCAUUUCUGUUAGGGUACUAUGACUAUUUCAAAAUAUGUUGUCUGUUUCACUAAAUUGACUAGGCAUGCAUACACCCACCUUUGUUCUAUGGUUUGCGAGAGAGUAAGCUAGGUUAUUGAGAGGCUUAUUCCCAUCAUAAGAUCUAGCAUGGACCUAGAGUUGGAGAUAGAUAUUUCGUAUCAGCAAGUGGUGAGCAUUGCUAGGAGAGUAGAGGGUAUGCAUGCUCGGGAUAGAGAGGAGAGGGAGGCCAAGAGGUCUCGAGAGUAGGGACAUUAUUUUGGUGCCUCUAGCUACAGUUCGUCAUGUUAAGGGUUAUAUGAGUCGGUUCAUCCAUCUCUUCUACCAGCCAGUAGUAUUCCAGCUCCUCCUAGACCUCAAGAUCCCUAUUGUACACCUCCAAUAUCUAGUGCGCCGCCUGCAUGGGGUGCUUUCAUUGGUCAGUCUAGCAGACAUGGCCCGAGCCAUUCACAGUCUCCAUGUUCUCCUAGAGAUUGUUUUGAGUAUUGCAACACAUGCCAUAUGGUGAGGGACUACUCCAGACUUACGAGAGGUGCACGUCCAACGACUUCUCAUCCACAGCCUGCCUCGUAGGACAUGUACAGCACCAGUUUCUACCCUAGCCACUCCACCAGCUAGAUAUGGAGGUCAGGGAGGUAGAGAUUGCCCUAGAAGGGGAGGCCAUGCUAGAUAUUAUGACUUUCCUGCUCGUACUGAGCCUAUCGCUUCUGAUUCUAUCAUCACGGGUAUUGUUCUAGUUUGUCAUAGAGAUGCAUUGGUUUCAUUCGAUCUGUUCUCCACUUAUUCUUAUGUGUCCUCUUAUUUUGCCCCGUAUUUGGGUGUAUCUCGGGAUUCUUUGAGUUCCCCUAUUUAUACUUCUACUAAUAUUUAAGAUUCUCUUGUUCUGGACCAUGUUUAUCGGUCGUGUUUGAUUUCUCUUAGUCGUUUCAAGACAAGAGCCGAUUUAUUAUUGCUCAGUAUGGUAGAUUUUGAUGUUAUCUUGGUCAUGGACUUGUUGUCACCCCAUUAUGCUAUUCUUGAUUGUCGCGCCAAAGACGUGACGAUGGUUGUGCUAGGUGUACCGCGAGUAGAGUGGAUGGGUACCUUAGAUCACACUUCCAUUAGAAUUAUUUCAUUCCCGAAGGCUCAUCGAAUAUUUGAGAAGGGGUCUGACGCGUAUCUAGCUUAUGAGAGAGAUUUCAGUAUUGAUACCCCUGCAGUUGACUCUGUCCUAGUAGUACGAGAUUUCCUUGAUGUAUUUCCAACUGAUCUUCUAGGUAUGCCACCCGAAUGAGAUAUUGGUUUUGUCAUCAAUUUGUUGUAGGACACUCAUCCCAUUUCUAUUCCUCCUUAUCGUAUGGCUCCUCCUAAGUUGAAGAAGUUAAAGAAACAUUUGCAGGAAUUGCUUGACAAGGGUUUAUUCAGCCCAAUGUAUCACCUUAGGGGUGCUCCUAUCUUGUUUGUGAAGAUAAAUUAUGGUUCUAUGCAUAUGUGCAUUAAUUAUCAGUUUAACAAAGUUACAGUGAAGAACUGAUGUCCUUUACCUCGUAUAGAUGAUCUGUUCGACUAGUUGCAGGGUACACAAAGGUUUUUGAAGAUUGACUUGAACUUAGGUUAUCAUCAGUUGAAGAUUCAGGAUAUAGAUAUCUCGAAGAUGACCUUCAAGAUUGAGUAUGGUCAUUUCGAAUUCCUUAUUAUGUCAUUGGGUUGACCAAUGCCCCAGCAACCUUUAUACAUUUGAUGCAUAGUAUAUUCUGGCCAUAUCUUGAAUCGUUCGUCAUGGUCUUUAUCGAUGACAUUUUCGUAUUCUCUCGUAGUUCAAAAGAUCAUGAGCAGCACCUGAGGACAGUGCUUCAAACUUUGGGGGAAAAAAAGUUAUAUGCGAAGUUCUUGAAAUGUGAGUUCUGGUUGGAUUCUGUGGCGUUCUUGGGUCGCGUAGUAUCAAGUGAAGGGAUCAAGGUGGAUGCAAGAAAGUGGAAGAAGUGCAGAGUUGUCCUCGACCGUCCUCAGCUAUAGAGAUCUGUAAUUUUCUUGGCAUGGUGGGUUAUUACCAUUGUUUUGUUGAGGGAUUUUCAUCUAUUGCAACACAUAUGACCAAGCUGACCCAGAAGGUUGCUUCGUUCUAGUGGAUGGAAGAGUGUGAGAAGAGCUUGUGGACGCUCAAGAAUGCUUUGACUACAGCCCAGUUCUGAUAUUGCCUAUAGGUUUGGGGUCUUAUACUGUCUAUUGUGAUGCCUCAAGGAUUGGCCUUGGAGCGAUAUUGACGCAGGAUGGUAGGGCGAUUUCCUACGCGUCUAGAUAGCUGAAAGUGCAUAAGAAGAAUUAUUAUGUCAAUGAUCUCAAGUUAGUUGCAAUUGUUCACGCCUUGAAGGUUCGGCGCCAUUAUUUGUACGAAGUGCCUUGUGAGAUUUAUACUAAUCAUCGGAGUUUGCAACAUCUCUUUAAGCAUAAGGACCUUAAUUUGCGCCAAGAGAGGUGGUUAAAGAUGCUGAAGGACUAUGAUAUCACUAUCUUGUAUCACCCGGGCAAGGCCAAUGUAGUGGCCGAUGCCUUAGUGACAUUGUAUCACCCGGGCAAGGCCAAUAUAGUGGCCAAUGCCUUGAGUCACCAAGCGGAGUGUAUCGUGCUUCAUAAGGUGUGAAUUUCUUAAUUAGUUAGUAUAUGGCUUGCUUUUUUCUCCUUAUCUCGUAUUAUCCCAGAACAUAUCUGAAGGCUCCAUAUAAUAUAGGUAGAUAGAGUACCUAAGGUUUACCUGGCUCUGGCCGGAUCAAAAGCGGUGGUGUGGACAGGUAUUUCUCGAUUUUGUUGAAAGCUUUAGACAAUCCCCGGUCCAUCUUGUUUCCGAAUCUUUCCUCAACAUUUUGAAGAUAAGCACAUAUAAAUGUGGACUGUUCUAUGAAGCGAUUGAUAUAAUUGAGAUGUCUUAGGAAGCUCAUUACAUCCUUUUUUCUCCUAAGCGGCAGUAACUCUUUAAUAGACUUAACUUUAGACGGACCCAAAUUGAUUAUUCGACGAUUGAUACUGAAUCCUAGUAGCUUUCCUGCAAGAACCCCAAAUGCACACUUUGUGUUUUUUCAAUUUUAAGUUGUACCUCCUUAACCUAUCAAAGAACUUUCUCAUGUUCGCUAUCUUAUCUGCGUCCCUCUUGGAUUUGAUAAUGGCGUCGUCCACAUAUGCCUCUAUUUCUUUGUGUAUCAUAUCAUUGAAGAUGGUUGUAAUGGCUCUAAUGUAUGUAGCCCCAGUAUUCUUUAGACCGAAUAGGAUCAUCUUGUAGCAUUAUACCCACUAUGGUGUAAUAAAAGUUGUUUUCUUGGCAUCUUCUUCGUCCAUCCAGAUUUGGUGAUAACCAACAAAGAAAUCUACAAUGGAUUGAAGUUCAUGCUUGGAACAAUUGUCGAUCCGGAUGUGUAUAUUUGGCAGUGGAAAGUCAUCCUUGGGACUUGCUCAGUUUAAGUCUCGGUAGUCAACACAUUCUGACUUUCCCAUCUUUCUUGGGAGCUAGUAAAAUGUUUGCUAACCACGUUGGGUAUUCAAUCACCCUAAGGAAUUUGGCUUAGAUCUGCUAUGUAACUUCCUCCUUGAUUUUCAAACUCAUAUCUUGUUUGAAUUUUUUGAGUUUCUGCUUCACUAGCUAACACAUGGGAUUGGUAGCAACUUGUGAGCUCCUAUGGAUGUGCUCAAACCGCUCAUGUCAUCAUAUAACCAUGCAAAUAUAUCUUCAUACUCCUUCAGGAAAUGAAUGUAUUCUUCUUUCUCUGUCAGUGGUAAGUGAAUGCUAAUAAAAGUCUAUUUGAUAGUUUCGGUAUCUCCCAAACUUACUUCUUUGGUUUCGUCCAGAUGGUACUUAGGCUUAUUUUAAAAGUUCUCAACCUCUCAGACAAUCUCCUCAGGUAUUUCAUCUUCUUCAUCUAAGUCACUAUCCUUAUAUUGUGUUGCCUCAUUAUAUGUCACAGUCACCGAUUCAUCAGCAAAAAUAAUAAUAACACUGGAGAAAGAAAAUGUGUGGAAGAUAAUAAUGAAUAAUAAAGAGCAAUGCAUUGAUUAAAACUAAAAAUGUCCAAAUAACUGCUCGAUGAAUCGAGCAUUUAUUUUGCAGUAUUUAAACACAUACUGCAAAAUAUAAAUUCGUGUCCUAAUUUAGGAGCCUCGUUGUGCCCGAGGUAGGCCUAGCGACAAAUAGAUGGAGAAAUACAGUGCCCAUAAUAGCCUUAUUUAAUUAAUAUAAAAAUAAACGACACUAAAUAAUGUUACUAAUCGAACUUGGCUUUAUUACAUUUAAAUGAAAAGCGAGUAAAUUUAAUCUACCUGGUCCGAGAAGGACCCUCCCCAUACCGAAGGCUAUUGUAGAUUAAUCUCCCACGUCAAGCAGGUUCGGCAGUAAGAAACUUUGUGCCUCAUUUUUCUGCAAAACAAAAGGUGGUUAGGCCUUUUCCCCCCAUCAAGAUUCGUCUAUUUAUACAAUAAUGAUUAGCAUAUUGGCACUUAUUUCUCUAAAUUAAUGCACACAGUCGUGAUUGCAUCCAUUGGGAUUAUGGAAAACCGGGCAGACUUUUGGACGAGGCUUUAUUUUCAAAGGGUUAUUAUAGGGACAUCAUAUUAACCUAGCUAGGCUUGACCAAGAUGCAUGCACAAGUAAUCAGAGUAAGGUUGCUAUAGAAGUCUAGAUUGGGACCCUCAAGCGGACAACUUAAGGGAGAAAGGCACGAAACCAUUGACUACACCGCUGAUCGACUAGUUUUACCGCAAAUAUGCCUUUCUUAAUUUAAGGGAAUUAAUUGGAAGAGCGCAACCAUUCAUCAAGUGUUGCUAUAGGAUUUGUUAGGCACAAAUGGAAUAUGAUGUGGAGCAUAAGUUAUGCAACAACAAAUAUCAUGUUGUCAAAUAUUUGCACAUUAAAAAACGGUAAGUGUAGUAUCAAAAUAAUUGAAAGACAGUUACGGAGAAAGAAAACAAAGAGAUAAAUCAAUUUCAGGAGAUGGAGAAAAUCAUAAAUAAGUUGUUAAAUCGAAGUAAAGGGGAGGAUGCACGGGAUAAAGCAUGUUUAAGACUAAAUCAAAAAUAAGUUUGUUAUGGUAAGAGACUAAAAUAUCACCAGUAGAGCCGCCAUGUUGUCGGGCCCUAUUUUUUCUUCGCAGGGAAGUCUGGGUUUCGACAUUCAUGGGGCAACAACUCGCUUCCUUUUGGGAAUUGAGUGUUUGAAGAGUCGCCAUCUAAUGGAUUAAGGUGCAUUAGGGAACUUAGAGAAAUUAACUCAUGUAACCAGUUUGCACUGCCAGAGAUUAGGGUAAGGGCAUGAAAUAACCUUGAGUGAAAGAUGUUAAGCACUCCUUGCGGCUCACAAUGAUGGGUCCCAAUCGAACUUAACUAUGUGAAUUAGUCAAUUAACAAGUAAGCAGUCCCAAUACAUAUUUGCAAAUAAAGGUAGUGUACAUAGUCUAAAUAUUAUGAUCAAGGAGGUUUAGAUAGUUUAAACACAUAUAUGUAAAGAAAAAUAAGUUUAGAUAGAUUAAACAAAUAUGAAUUGGGAAACAGAAGUCCUAAGUUGAUUAGCGUAUAGGAUCAAUCUCUGCAAUGCCCGGUAAUCCUCCUCAACUAGAUGGGCUACAUGUGAUAUUAGCGUAGGUCAUCAUAUCCUUUUACUAACCAUUACCCCUCCCCCCUUAGCGGUUAUGAACGAUUUUAAUAAACGAACUCUAAGCGUGCUUUACCUAUCCCUUCCUUGUGGUCCCCAAGGAGUUUAGGACCUCUAGACUUGGGCAAUUCUAGACAAUCCUAAGGUGUUUAAAAGGCAAAAGUCUAGGCGACAACAAAUAACAUACAGGACUGUCAAUGAAGGAAUCAGAUAAAAGGCUCAUGUUUACCUCAACAUAUACAUAAGGCAAAUAAGCAGCACGUCUCAAACAACUUAUUGAAAAUAAAUUUAGAAAGAAUAGGAACAUGAUAUCUAAAUGAACAUUACAUAACAGAACAUGUAGUGUCUGUUUCAAGGGAAGUGGCUUAAUCCUAACCAGUUUGCCUACUGGUUUUAUGGCAUGUUAUGCCUGGACAAUUUCACACAUAAACAGAAUCUAAUUUCACAGUUCUCUAAUGGUUAAGGCUUGCCUAGGGAUAUAUAUGCAGUCAUAAUCUGGGAACCACUUAAAUUAUUUAAAGUUCUUUAAUCCUAUUGGCAUGCUGAUCUAAGUGAUGAAUAUUAUAGCAGGUAAUUUUAUAUUGAUUCAUGCCAGAACAUGGUACUAUGUGUGGGGUUGUUUUAACCUACUUAUUUUAACGACAUGUUUCAAAGUAUAUGUACAUGCAGUCACAAGAUAUGAUCUCUAAUGCACAUGGAGAAGGUUAUUAUAUUUUAAACAAUAUUAGUAACUUAAUGGUAGUAUUUCUAAGUGAUACCGACCUAUGCAGAGUUAGAAGUAAAAUGAUGAACUAUAACAUAUGAUAUGCAUAAGAAAUAAAUAUGAUUGUCCUAAGUCAAGGUAUCUAAUGCACAAAUUUUGUAUGAUUUAAUGCGAGUAAGCAUAGAAAUCCUAAAUCAUGAUAUCUAAUGCGUCAUACAAACCUAAAACAUGAUAUCUACAUCAACUCAUCAUAAUGUAAAACCUGAAACAUGGUUUCUAACCAAUUUAUCCCAUAGAAUCAUAUAAAUGCCCUCCCUAUUCUACUAUUUACCCCAAUAUUGAUUUAUAAAGGAUUAUUACAAACCGGGAUUUAGUAAAUUACUUCAAUGAGAAGUAAACUUCUAUAAUAGAGAGCUUGAAGAAGGCCCUAAACAAAUCUAGGAGUACAAGGCCUUUAGAGUAGUCGCAAAUUCCCGGAAUUCUUACAGCCAACAAGUGUCCAGGUGUAUCAGAGUUUCCUAUGGACCUCAAGGAUAUCGGGAAGUGCUCACACCAAGACCUUUCUCAAAAUAAGGACAGGUUAUGUGCAGUGUGGAAGGGUCACUUCUAGCAUGCCAGAGUUCAGAGAGAUCUCAAGGAUACCUAAGCAGUACACAUACCAGAGGGGCAGAACUUAAUAAUAUAAAAGUAAAGUGCGAGUUAUUGACACAGUUUGAAAGGUUUGGUGAAAACAGUAUAGGGAUGACUCUAAGAAUUAAAAUAUUUUCUAAAAUAGAACUAGUUUUGUCACAACCCCGAUUCGCCCUCCAUGAACAAUCGUGAGACUCUAAUAAACCGAUCAGUUACACAGCCUUUUGUAGAUAAGUAUAGACAUCUCCGUACCAAUCAAUAAGUCUCUUAUAAACCCGCUUAUGAUUCAUUACUCUUAUGAACUUAGAGCUAUGAUAUCCACUUAUCACACCCCGUAUCGCCCUCCAUGAACCAUCAUGACGGCACCUAUUCUAUACGACUAAGUAAGCCUAACAAUGUGCAAAAUAAACAAAUUUGCAAAAGAAAUAAUUAAAACCAAAAUAAUAAGAUAAUACAAUGUUUAAAAGUGCCGCUCGGUACACAAUAACAACUCUCGAAACUAAUACAUUUCCAAAAAUCCGGAAGUUUAUGAAACCACAAGCUUUUGGAUGUCUUCAAGUAUCCAACUCCAGAAUGUCUAACAUCACAGAAGGGAAAAUGUUUAAAUAAAGAAUAAAGAGGGUCUAUUUGAUCUAUGGACGCGGAAGAUAUACCUCGAAGUCUCUAGAACAGUCGCCUAGACUUAAGGGUGAUAGGACUGAGUCAAAGUACCUGGAUGUGCAUAUGAAAAAGAUACACAGAAAGGGAA
This 29178-nucleotide long non-coding RNA is filed under the name Nicotiana benthamiana. Its description in RNAcentral is "long non-coding RNA (NBEN_LNC003701)". The record is from RNAcentral. Lineage: Eukaryota; Viridiplantae; Streptophyta; Magnoliopsida; Solanales; Solanaceae.